GCAAUGAGAACAACAAAACCAUAAGUAAAAACACACGAGAAACAGGGUGAAGUAUAAAACUAGUAGAAGCAUGUUGUUUUGAAAGUUGUAACUUAAAUAGGUGGCAUACCAGUUGCAGCUAAUGUAACACAGUAGUAAUGAGCAAUAAUGCACAAAGGAGAGCAGAAUGUGCAAAGAGUGUGCAGAGAGUGAGAGCAGCAGUGUGCAGAGAAGUAAGCAGCAGGCAAACCCAAACAGACAAUGCAGUAGAACCCCAGUAGUAGAAAUAAACAGCCAAGAUUACUCAAUCUUGGCUUUCAGCCGAUUAAGUGUUCAAUAGAAGAAUGAGAUAGUUUGUAUAGAAACAAUCGAAAAAGAGAGAGAGCACUGAGUGUUUUGAAAGAGAGUUUAGAGAGAUUGAAUUCGUGUCUCUGUGUGUGAGAGAUAUGCAAUGUGUUGGUUUCCUGUGCAAAAGAGAAUGGGGGUUACUUAUAGUACUGAAAACGAGUAAACAAACAAGGUAGCAUCCUAUUAUUAAGGAACUGAGUAUCAAUCCUAAUCAAAUCCAUAUAUGGACUCCCCUUUAAUUAAGGAAUCAACGUCAAACAGCAACAAGCAGUUAUUUCGAAAGGAAAUGAAUCAAUUAGACUAUUGUAUCUACCAUAUUAGGAGUAGUAAAGCAUAUAAUAUGCAAUAAGGGCCAAAUACAUAAUAAUUUUAGUAAGGAAAAUAUAGACUGAAUAUUUGAAAGCAUGUUCACGCGCAUAAAUAGAGUGAAAAUAUAAAUUAACUCUGAAAAUUAGUCCAAGAAUCAUGGAUGAGAUUAAAAUAAAAAAUCAUAAGGGAUUAGUUCUAAGUGAGGAAAGCAUAUCUCAAAUAAGGAAGUAAUUCAAAAAAUCAGUAUAAAACUUCUAAGGAAAACACAUACAAAUCAAGUAUUCGCAGAGAUGCACAAAAUAAGCUGAAUAUUAUGUAGAUGAUGAACAAUUAGACUAAUAAAGAGCCAUAUACAUGAAAAUCAGAGAACCCUAAGCAAGAAAGUCACAUAGAAGGCCGAAGACUGAACCCUAGUAGAAAACUUAAAGCGUGGAACUCGGAGUAACCAGAAGGUAACACAAAUAAACACAUACCAAAAAUAUAACCACAUAAUACUCAAGAAAAAUCAGAAGAUAUAGCGAUUUUGAAAGAGGUUCGGAAACCUUAGCUUUGGAAAAAUAGAAAAAUGUUGAAAAACUUGAAUGAAUCGGAGAUAUCGAGUGAAAAGCAGUGUAGAACACAAAGAUUAAAUUGAAAAUCGUUCGAAAAGUCAGAGAUUAAAGAGAUUUAGGCAAGAAUUAGGGUUUGCAAAAUAAAUUACGAAAAUGAGAAACCUGGCCGUGAAACUCGUUAAUAAUGCCAUAUAAGGCAUCACCGGACAAAAACCAACCGGAGAAGGCAGGUAAUAGACCCAGGCAAAGCUUCAGCGACCGUCUUUCAUGGUAGAAGUUUUCUGGGCUUCAAACUUUAGAGAGAAACAACGAGAUGAAGGUUCCAUGGUGACUAGAGAUCGAGAGAAGUGAGGGAGAAGUAUGGCCGGAGAGGCAACGAACUUCAUCGGAGAAGAAGGAACCAGAAGGUUCUAGAGAGAAGGAAGAGCAUUUGUUAGAGAGAGAGUGAGUCUGUU
Molecule: long non-coding RNA, 1642 nt
Filed under: Nicotiana benthamiana
Lineage: Eukaryota; Viridiplantae; Streptophyta; Magnoliopsida; Solanales; Solanaceae
Description: long non-coding RNA (NBEN_LNC019084)
Source: RNAcentral